This 2045-nucleotide long non-coding RNA is filed under the name Gadus morhua (Atlantic cod). RNAcentral's name for it is "lncRNA (ENSGMOG00000030385.1)". The stretch from base 1134 to 1187 matches the Rfam family "UnaL2 LINE 3' element". Lineage: Eukaryota; Metazoa; Chordata; Actinopteri; Gadiformes; Gadidae. The record is from RNAcentral.
CAUGUCCUGUCAUGAACUGUAGCCUUGUGAGACCGGCCUGGUCUUAGUUCAUGUCCUGUUCUCUCUGUAGACCUGCCUGGUCUUAGUACAGUUCCUGUUCUCUCUGUAGACCGGCCUGGUUUUAGUUCAGGUCCUGUUCUCUCUGUAGACCGGCCUUUAAGCUCACCAUGUCCAGUAUUCAGAAUUCAAAACAUUUAUUCACAAAUAUGUUAUUUUUUGCCAAGCGGAGCCAGCCAGUCCUAGCCUGGCGCCGCCCACCUACUUACUUCCGCUCAAUUUUCAUUUCACUUCAGUUUUAUACACACAAUGGCUGUGUCCCAAUUCCUAGGACGCAUCCUUCGAAGGCUGCAUUCGAAGGAUGCGUCGACGCCGUUUGCGUCACAGCGUCGCGCCAAGUGCUGUCCCAAUUCCAAGGGUCCUUCAAAUGCGGCCUACGAAUGCAGCCUUCUUUUCCCGGAUUUGAAGGAUGCAUCGGCUGUAUCCUUCACGGCCCAACGUAUCCCAAGAUCCUUCACGGCCCAACGUAUCCCUCCCAAGAUUCAUUGCGCAUUCAAUCAAUGGAGAUGGCGGAGAAUGGCGAUUUAAGUUCUGCAUUUAAAUGAUUGCAAGUAUCCAGGGUCAGGAGAAGGGGUAGGUGGGAAACCCGGUGCUGCCACUUGGCCCUGGUUUGUCCCCAUGGAUGAGGUAUUGGGACAGAGGCAUUCCACCAACCCCCCUGUCCUAAUUGCCUCCAUCUCUGAGAACACACCAGGGCCAAGUACAGCAGUGGUGGAUCAGGAGGUGGAGGACAAGGAUCAGGAGGAGGAAAGACAACGAGGGCCACGGUCCAGAAAGAGGGACGGAGAGGAAGACAUGUUCCAGAGUCGCUCACUAUCUUCCGAAAAGGACUCAAGACUCACCUGUUCAGAGUCCACCUCGACUGCAUAGCCACCCUCCCCCUUCUGGCCACCAUUGUACACUGUGUUGAAUUGUAUUGUAUUGUAUUAUUGUACUUAACUGUGUAGCAACUGCAGUAGCUGCUAUCAUGGCUGUAACACGGGGAAUUGGUUAGCCUAGCGAUUGUGGUACUUGCACUUGGUUCUAUGAACAUCCUUUCUGUACCGACAGCGAUAUAUUGAUGCACUUCUUCUGACAAAUGUACUUAUUGUAAGUCGCUUUGGAUAAAAGCGUCUGCUAAAUGCCCUAAAUGUAAAUGUAAAAUGUAAAUGUUCCAGUUAAUAAAGGAGGACAUGAGGCUACAAAGGGAGGCAGAGGAGAGAAGAGCCCAGGAGAGCAGGGAAUGAAUGGAUAGGUUUUUCUCAAUUUUGGAGCGUUUGGUGGACAAAUAACUUAUGGUCUGUUAUAUUUAACACAUUGUUUAUUAUUAUUUACAUAUUUAUUGAAAUUAACUUAUUUAACUAACUUUUUUGAUUAACUAUUUAUUAAAACCCUUAGACCUACUAACUUUUUUGUAUUGACUAAUGUAUUUGUAUAUAACUUAUAAAACAUAUAUACAACAAUACAACUAUUUACAACAAACAUUCAUGUGACUAUUUACAAUUAUUAUAAAACUACUAUAUACAAAAACAUAAUGAUCAAUAAUAAUUUUAGUUGUUUUCUUUUUUUCGCGCUGUCCGGUUUAACUUCUGUUUACUAACAGGUCAGUUCAGCUGUCAGGGUUGCUAGGUGACAGGAGCAGCGCGUGGUCACGCAAGUGAAAGGGCGGUAACGGUUUGUUACGUAAACCAGAAAUGCUCCGUAGGCUAGACCGUCCCAUUUCUUCGGCCUCUUCGGGAGUGUCCUUCGCGGUCUACGAAGGCCGCAUCCUUCGAAGGACGCGGUCUACGAAGGAUGCGUCCUAUGAAUUGGGACACAGCCUCUACCAUCAGUAGAUCACCCGUCGACGCCAUUUUGUUUUCAAGACUCGAUAAGUAGAUUGACGAACACAGAGAUUGUGACAUCCGUCAGCAACACACAAGCUCUGUGUUCGUCAAUCAACUUAUCGAGUCUGGAAAACAAAAUGGCGUCGACGGGUGAUCUAGUGUUUUUGAAAUGGUCAAACUUGA